AGAGUUUGAUCCUGGCUCAGGAUGAACGCUAGCUACAGGCUUAACACAUGCAAGUCGAGGGGCAUCAGGAAGAAAGCUUGCUUUCUUUGCUGGCGACCGGCGCACGGGUGAGUAACACGUAUCCAACCUGCCCUUUACUCGGGGAUAGCCUUUCGAAAGAAAGAUUAAUACCCGAUAGCAUAAUGAUUCCGCAUGGUUUCAUUAUUAAAGGAUUCCGGUAAAGGAUGGGGAUGCGUUCCAUUAGGUUGUUGGUGAGGUAACGGCUCACCAAGCCUUCGAUGGAUAGGGGUUCUGAGAGGAAGGUCCCCCACAUUGGAACUGAGACACGGUCCAAACUCCUACGGGAGGCAGCAGUGAGGAAUAUUGGUCAAUGGGCGCUAGCCUGAACCAGCCAAGUAGCGUGAAGGAUGAAGGCUCUAUGGGUCGUAAACUUCUUUUAUAUAAGAAUAAAGUGCAGUAUGUAUACUGUUUUGUAUGUAUUAUAUGAAUAAGGAUCGGCUAACUCCGUGCCAGCAGCCGCGGUAAUACGGAGGAUCCGAGCGUUAUCCGGAUUUAUUGGGUUUAAAGGGAGCGUAGGUGGACUGGUAAGUCAGUUGUGAAAGUUUGCGGCUCAACCGUAAAAUUGCAGUUGAUACUGUCAGUCUUGAGUACAGUAGAGGUGGGCGGAAUUCGUGGUGUAGCGGUGAAAUGCUUAGAUAUCACGAAGAACUCCGAUUGCGAAGGCAGCUCACUGGACUGCAACUGACACUGAUGCUCGAAAGUGUGGGUAUCAAACAGGAUUAGAUACCCUGGUAGUCCACACAGUAAACGAUGAAUACUCGCUGUUUGCGAUAUACAGUAAGCGGCCAAGCGAAAGCAUUAAGUAUUCCACCUGGGGAGUACGCCGGCAACGGUGAAACUCAAAGGAAUUGACGGGGGCCCGCACAAGCGGAGGAACAUGUGGUUUAAUUCGAUGAUACGCGAGGAACCUUACCCGGGCUUAAAUUGCAGUGGAAUGAUGUGGAAACAUGUCAGUGAGCAAUCACCGCUGUGAAGGUGCUGCAUGGUUGUCGUCAGCUCGUGCCGUGAGGUGUCGGCUUAAGUGCCAUAACGAGCGCAACCCUUAUCUUUAGUUACUAACAGGUCAUGCUGAGGACUCUAGAGAGACUGCCGUCGUAAGAUGUGAGGAAGGUGGGGAUGACGUCAAAUCAGCACGGCCCUUACGUCCGGGGCUACACACGUGUUACAAUGGGGGGUACAGAAGGC
This 1245-nucleotide ribosomal RNA is filed under the name Bacteroides fragilis str. Korea 419. Its description in RNAcentral is "bacterial SSU rRNA". It matches the Rfam family "Bacterial small subunit ribosomal RNA", at positions 8 to 1247 of the family's 1533-position model. The record is from RNAcentral. Lineage: Bacteria; Pseudomonadati; Bacteroidota; Bacteroidia; Bacteroidales; Bacteroidaceae.